CAUCCUCCAAGGCUAAAUACUCCUGACUGACCGAUAGUGAACCAGUACCGUGAGGGAAAGGCGAAAAGAACCCCGGCGAGGGGAGUGAAAAAGAACCUGAAACCGUGUACGUACAAGCAGUGGGAGCACCCUUUGGGGUGUGACUGCGUACCUUUUGUAUAAUGGGUCAGCGACUUAUAUUCUGUAGCAAGGUUAACCGCAUAGGGGAGCCGGAGGGAAACCGAGUCUUAAUUGGGCGUUAAGUUGCAGGGUAUAGACCCGAAACCCGGUGAUCUAGCCAUGGGCAGGUUGAAGGUUGGGUAACACUAACUGGAGGACCGAACCGAC
Molecule: ribosomal RNA, 327 nt
Filed under: Salmonella enterica subsp. enterica serovar Manhattan
Lineage: Bacteria; Pseudomonadati; Pseudomonadota; Gammaproteobacteria; Enterobacterales; Enterobacteriaceae
Description: bacterial LSU rRNA
Rfam family: Bacterial large subunit ribosomal RNA
Source: RNAcentral